AUAUCAUCUAUAAGUGCUUUUUGGUGCAUUUUACACAUGCAUGAGGCUUGUUGGCAAGUUGUUGGACACUCGUGAAGUGUCGGUUUGAUGUAAAGGUUGAGCCUUUAUCUUACACCCCUUAUAUGUAACACCUCAGACUUCUGACAGAAUCCCAUAUCGACAAAACACUUGAGGAAUGAUGGUAUAUAAGUUAACAAGCCUUAAACUCUAGUGACGCAUUUUAAACCCGUACGGGCCUAAACCCAAAGCGGACAAUAUCACUAGUGGACUGGGCUGUUACAUAUGAUAUCAAAUCCACUCUUAUGUCAGCCAUGCCAAUGGUGGGUCGGAGUUCAACUGAGUUUACACAAAUCUAGAUUAUGCGGGAAAAACUUCAGUGCUGAGUCUUGGCAAAUCCUAUGCAGUGCAGCAAACCUCAGCGAGAACUCUGAGUUCAUAAGGGGGUGUAUGUAACACCCCGUACUUUACACAAAAUCCCACAUCGACAAAACACAAGAGGGAUGCUAGAUAUAUAAAUUAACAAGUCUUAAACCCUAGUAACGCAUUAUAAACUCGUAAGGGCCUAGGCCUAAAGCGAACAAUAUCACUAGCGAGCUGGACUGUUACAUUAUAUUAGGCUCUUAUUGAUGCAUCCUUUGUAUGUG
This 644-nucleotide long non-coding RNA is filed under the name Nicotiana benthamiana. RNAcentral's name for it is "long non-coding RNA (NBEN_LNC002903)". The record is from RNAcentral. Lineage: Eukaryota; Viridiplantae; Streptophyta; Magnoliopsida; Solanales; Solanaceae.